Molecule: ribosomal RNA, 253 nt
Filed under: uncultured bacterium
Lineage: Bacteria
Description: partial 16S ribosomal RNA
Rfam family: Bacterial small subunit ribosomal RNA
Source: RNAcentral
UACGAAGGGGGCUAGCGUUGCUCGGAAUGACUGGGCGUAAAGGGCGCGUAGGCGGAUGGCACAGUCAGAUGUGAAAUUCCCGGGCUUAACCUGGGGGCUGCAUUUGAUACGUGUGAUCUAGAGUGAGGAAGAGGGUCGUGGAAUUCCCAGUGUAGAGGUGAAAUUCGUAGAUAUUCGCAGGAACACCAGUGGCGAAGGCGGCUCACUGGUCCGGUACUGACGCUGAGGUGCGAAAGCGUGGGGAGCAAACAGG